RNAcentral lists this ribosomal RNA (760 nucleotides) under uncultured archaeon. RNAcentral describes it as "bacterial SSU rRNA". It matches the Rfam family "Archaeal small subunit ribosomal RNA", at positions 51 to 814 of the family's 1478-position model. The record is from RNAcentral.
AUGCGAGUUGAGAGGGUUCGGCCCUCGGCUAACGGCUCAGUAACACGNGNGANAAUCUGCCCUUAGGUGGAGGAUACCCUCGGGAAACUGNAGAAUAAUACUCCAUAGGUCUAGGAUGCUGGAAUGCACUUAGACUAAAAACUCCGGUGCCUAAGGAUGAGUCUGCGGACUAUCAGGUUGUAGUCAGGGUAAAGACCUGACUAGCCUACGACGGAUACGGGUUGUGAGAGCAAUAACCCGGAGAUGAUAUCUGAGACACGAUAUCAGGCCCUACGGGGCGCAGCAGGCGCGAAAACUUCACAAUGCGCGAAAGCGCGAUGAGGGAAUCCCAAGUGCUUGCACGUAAGUGUAAGCUGUUUCUAUGUUUAAAACGCAUAGAGAGUAAGGGCUGGGUAAGACGGGUGCCAGCCGCCGCGGUAAUACCUGCAGCUCGAGUGGUGGCCGCUAUUAUUGGGCCUAAAACGUCCGUAGCCGGUUUAAUAAAUGCCUGGGUAAAUUGUAUAGCUUAACUAUACGAAUUCCGGGUAGACUGAUAAACUUGAGACCGGGGGAAGUUAGAGGUACUCCUGGGGUAGAGGUGAAAUUCUGUAAUCCUAGGGGGACCACCGGUGGCGAAGGCGUCUGACUAAAACGGGUCUGACGGUGAGGGACGAAGCCCUGGGGCGCAAACGGGAUUAGAUACCCCGGUAGUCCAGGGUGUAAACGCUGCUUGCUUGAUGUUAGUCGGGCUUCGAGCCCGAUUAUUGUCGGAGAGAAGUUG